GGAGGUCAGAGGCAGAGAUUCUGGGUUAGGCCAUUUCAUGCUAUCAUCAUAAGGUAACCAGGAAGCCACGGCAGCCAAGAAGAGUUCCAAUGCGGUGUGCUUCAAGGAUGAAAGGACGAAUGAAGACCCUUUUUACACAGAGAUACAGGGGCAGUGUGAAGGCAUGGAAUAUGACCAUGAGGGUCAGAAGACCUCUAAAAGGAACCUUGAGAAAGAAAAUCCGAUCAUAUGCCACUCAGUCGAAGAAGGUGAAGGAAACAAGAAAACUAAACUUUUUUCUGUUCCUGUGCACGUAAGAAACUGAAUCUAAGCUGAAAAGAGUACCAAAAUAUGAGGCAGAGUCAAAGAAGGAGGCAGAAUCAAAAGAGAAGGUAAGCUCAGCCACCCCAGAAUGAGAGACCCUGGACAAGGACAAGCUGGGCAACCAGUAACUGAAUAGAAAAGGUCAGUCAGUUUAGAAUUGUGUCUCCAGAGGUCUGCUUUCUUAGAAAUGGCCAAUCAGCAAAAGACUUACUCUCACACUAACAUAGUAAACUGAUGGCUGCAAAUAAAAUACACAUUAAAUGGUGAAAAGAUGA
Long non-coding RNA from Bubalus bubalis (water buffalo), 578 nucleotides. RefSeq lists it as uncharacterized. Lineage: Eukaryota; Metazoa; Chordata; Mammalia; Artiodactyla; Bovidae. The transcript is spliced from 2 exons. The record is from RefSeq and is a predicted model, not a curated record.